GGGCUGCAGUGGGGAAUUUUGGACAAUGGGGGAAACCCUGAUCCAGCAAUGCCGCGUGUGUGAAGAAGGCCUUCGGGUUGUAAAGCACUUUUGUCAGGAACGAAACGGUGAGGGUUAAUACCCUUUGCUAAUGACGGUACCUGAAGAAUAAGCACCGGCUAACUACGUGCCAGCAGCCGCGGUAAUACGUAGGGUGCAAGCGUUAAUCGGAAUUACUGGGCGUAAAGCGUGCGCAGGCGGUUGUGCAAGACAGAUGUGAAAUCCCCGGGCUCAACCUGGGAAUUGCAUUUGUGACUGCACGGCUAGAGUGUGUCAGAGGGGGGUAGAAUUCCACGUGUAGCAGUGAAAUGCGUAGAUAUGUGGAGGAAUACCGAUGGCGAAGGCAGCCCCCUGGGAUAACACUGACGCUCAUGCACGAAAGCGUGGGGAGCAAACAGGAUUAGAUACCCUUGUAGUC
Molecule: ribosomal RNA, 457 nt
Filed under: uncultured Paucimonas sp.
Lineage: Bacteria; Pseudomonadati; Pseudomonadota; Betaproteobacteria; Burkholderiales; Burkholderiaceae
Description: bacterial SSU rRNA
Rfam family: Bacterial small subunit ribosomal RNA
Source: RNAcentral